Anguilla anguilla (European eel) is the source of this 2716-nucleotide RNA transcript. It is a transcript of the gene named sulfotransferase 4A1-like, with no coding region annotated. Lineage: Eukaryota; Metazoa; Chordata; Actinopteri; Anguilliformes; Anguillidae. The transcript has 8 exons. The record is from RefSeq and is a predicted model, not a curated record.
UUGUGGGGAGAGACAGCAACAGCAUCAUCUCCAGCAUCAACGACAGAAUACCAUUACAUCACUUUGCCGAGAUCUGAUUGGAUAAGGGCGCUGUUUUACAAACCAGCAAGCCAUCGUCUUACAUUCUCGAGGUUGAUUUUGGAAAAAGAUUCCCCCAAUUAACAAUAUAUUGAACACUUUCGAUUGACAAAAACUACACAAUGGCCGAGAGCGAACCAGAGACGCCCAGCACUCCGAUAGAGUUUGAGAGCAAAUACUUCGAAUAUAACGGAGUAAGGCUGCCUCCCUUCUGCCGAGGGAAGAUGGAGGAAAUUUCCAACUUCUCGCUUAGAAGUAGUGACAUAUGGAUAGUCACCUAUCCCAAGUCAGGGACCAGUCUGUUGCAGGAGCUGGUGUAUCUGGUGAGUCAGGGGGCAGACCUGGAUGAGAUUGGGCUGAUGAACAUCGACGAGCAGCUGCCAGUUCUGGAGUAUCCCCAACCGGGCCUGGACAUCAUCCAGGAGCUGACGUCACCGCGCCUGAUAAAGAGUCACCUGCCCUACCGCUUCCUCCCUUCCGCCAUGCACAAUGGAGAGGGCAAGGUGAUCUACAUGGCCAGGAACCCCAAAGACCUGGUGGUGUCCUACUACCAGUUCCACCGCUCCCUCAGGACCAUGAGCUACAGGGGCACCUUCCAGGAGUUCUGCCGCAGGUUCAUGAAUGAAAAACUGGGGUAUGGCUCCUGGUUCGAGCAUGUUCAGGAAUUCUGGGAACAUCGCAUGGACUCCAAUGUUCUCUUCUUGAAAUACGAAGACAUGUUUAAGGACCUGGACACGCUGGUGGGACGUCUGGCGCGCUUCCUGGGCGUGGCCUGUGAUAAGGUGCAGCAGGAGAGCCUGGUGGAGAGCUGUCACCAGCUGAUCGAGCAGUGCUGUGGCUCCGAUGCUCUGUCUGCCUGCAGGGUGCACUGACUCAUGACCACACUGGUGCUGGUGCAGUGAGCACUCUCAGUAGGAACUUUAAUGCAGGUCCCAUAGUUUCUCAGGAAGGGCGUGUGGGGCUGUGGAAAGACAUCUUCACUGUUUCCAUGAACGACAAGUUUGAUGCAGUGUACCAGGAAAAAAUGGGAGAGUCUGAUCUUAGCUUUGACUUUGGUCUUUAAAGACCCUGACCCUAACCCUGCAGACUCUGCCCCUUAUCCUGCAGACUCCACCCCAACCCUGCAAACUCCACCCCUUACCCUGCGGACCCCACCCCUUACCUUGCAAGCUCCUCCCCAACCUUGCAGACUCCACCCCUAAUCCUACAGACUCCACCCCAACUCUUCCCAGUAUGAGUCCCUCCCAUCCCUGGCUCCAGUCCCACACCACAGAUUUUAAAAUCCCACCAGAUACUCAGCUCUGUGUUCCUAACAUUUGUAAAGCUGAACAUCCUGACAUGCUGUCGUUGAACCAAUUUUAGGCAUCUUUUACAAUUCAUUAACAGGUGUGUCCUGGUUGAGUACUAUGGGCCGGGAUGAGAUCGGAAAGGGCAUGACAUCACCUGCCGGCCAGGAGCCCCUCAUCGAGCAUGCCCAAUGACAGCACUAGAAACCCCUGUUAUCAACCAGAAUCUACUGUAGGUCAGAAGCAGUGAGGACGGAACACAGUAGCUGAGUAUCUGGUGUGUCUAUUGAAUCUGUGCCUGUACAAUGAGGCUUCAAUCAUGGUGACACAGAUCUCUCUGGAUGGUGGAUAUCGCUCUUAUUGCUUGAUGGAUUACUAUUAUCCUUGCUUUGUAUGUACGUACAGUGUGUACACUACAGUAUUUUGUGUAAAGCCACCUCCCAUGACUCUGAAUGAGUAUUUGAGGUUGAUGUUCCAUGUGAUGUACAGAUCUAGCACACACAGAUUCUCAGAGAAAAUGUUGCAGCAACGUCAGGCAAACCUUAUGAGAACAUAACGUGCCAGUAGAGGAUAAACUGCUCAGGGUUGGUCAGUUCUGCACAGGAAGGUCUGGUCUGCUUUUUCCUACCACGACCAGCUACUGACCACACAUAGUUACUGCUACUGACAGAUUUACAUGGCCCUGUACCACCUUUCCUCAGGUAUGCUCACCUGUACCUUCAAAUUAACAGGAGCAUUCACUUUUAGCGAGUUAGAGAUUUAAUAACAGUUCUAAAGUUUUAAUACACCUUUUCAGGGAAAAAUCCCAUAUAUAGCCCCCCAUUGCUUCAGCCAUUCCUGGUGAUGUUGAAUGCACUGUCUGUGCAUGCUUUAGACAUUGUGGCUCUAGAAUUUUACAGACAUUCAGUAUCACUGCGUCUGCUUAAACUUCGCCUUUUAUCGCUGUCUGUGCUUAUCGGACCAUUUUUUAAAUCAGUCCUACUGACAACCACCCCCCCCCCCCCAUCUUUCUAUGCAUAACCCCCACUAGCGUGGGGAAUGCCAGGUGAUUCUCACGUCAUACUGCCGAGGGGCAUUUAUACAGAACAUACAGUGUUCAUUUUGGCGAAGCUUCUGUUGUACUUAUGGGUUUUGUGUAAAAAAAAAAAUGCAAGUGAAUUGCCCAUGCAUAUACGUAAACAUGAGCAGAUUGGUGUAACAUUCUGAAACAUAUCAGAGCUCGAUGUGUACCCCUGCUGUCUCUUCUACAAGAACACUGGAGUUUAAGUCCUAUUUUUAUAUUGUCCUUGGUUCAUUAAACAGAUUAUUUUGCUUGCUGAUUUUCAAAUAAAGAUGUUUCCUCAGCACUGGUG